UUUAACCACGGUCUCUGACACGCCCACUAGGUAACAUUUAACCAGUCUCUGACACACCCACUAGGUAACAUUUAACCAGUCUCUGACACACCCACUAGGUGACAUUUAACCACGGUCUCUGACACACCCACUAGGUAACAUUUAACCAGUCUCUGACACGCCCACUAGGUAACAUUUAACCAGUCUCUGACACGCCCACUAGGUGACAUUUAACCACGGUCUCUGACACACCCACUAGGUAACAUUUAACCACGGUCUCUGACACACCCACUAGGUAACAUUUAACCACGGUCUCUGACACGCCCACUAGGAAACAUUUAACCAGUCUCUGACACGCCCACUAGGUGACAUUUAACCACAGUCUCUGACACGCCCACUAGGUGACAUUUAACCACGGUCUCUGACACGCCCACUAGGUGACAUUUAACCACGGUCUCUGACACGCCCACUAGGUGACAUUUAACCACGGUCUCUGACACGCCCACUAGGUGACAUUUAACCACGGUCUCUGACACGCCCACUAGGUGACAUUUAACCACGGUCUCUGACACGCCCACUAGGUAACAUUUAACCACGGUCUCUGACACGCCCACUAGGUGACAUUUAACCACGGUCUCUGACACGCCCACUAGGUGACAUUUAACCACGGUCUCUGACACGCCCACUAGGUAACAUUUAACCACGGUCUCUGACACGCCCACUAGGUGACAUUUAACCACGGUCUCUGACACGCCCACUAGGUGACAUUUAACCACGGUCUCUGACACGCCCACUAGGUGACAUUUAACCACGGUCUCUGACACGCCCACUAGGUGACAUUUAACCACGGUCUCUGACACGCCCACUAGGUGACAUUUAACCACGGUCUCUGACACAC
Molecule: long non-coding RNA, 877 nt
Organism: Esox lucius (northern pike)
Lineage: Eukaryota; Metazoa; Chordata; Actinopteri; Esociformes; Esocidae
Exons: 3
Source: RefSeq, a predicted model, not a curated record